Molecule: ribosomal RNA, 253 nt
Filed under: uncultured bacterium
Lineage: Bacteria
Description: partial 16S ribosomal RNA
Rfam family: Bacterial small subunit ribosomal RNA
Source: RNAcentral
UACGAAGGGGGCUAGCGUUGCUCGGAAUCACUGGGCGUAAAGGGUGCGUAGGCGGGUCUUUAAGUCAGGGGUGAAAUCCUGGAGCUCAACUCCAGAACUGCCUUUGAUACUGAAGAUCUUGAGUUCGGGAGAGGUGAGUGGAACUGCGAGUGUAGAGGUGAAAUUCGUAGAUAUUCGCAAGAACACCAGUGGCGAAGGCGGCUCACUGGGACGUGACUGACGCUGAGACGCGAAAGCGUGGGGAGCAAACAGG